GUUAACGAAGCAAAACUUGGUAUUGCAAAAGAUCUAAACCCUUUACAUAGAAGUUCAAAUCUUCUCGUUGACU
This 73-nucleotide transfer RNA is filed under the name Ansonia muelleri (Mueller's stream toad). Its description in RNAcentral is "tRNA-Leu". It matches the Rfam family "tRNA". Rfam says of the family: Transfer RNA (tRNA) molecules are approximately 80 nucleotides in length. Their secondary structure includes four short double-helical elements and three loops (D, anti-codon, and T loops). Lineage: Eukaryota; Metazoa; Chordata; Amphibia; Anura; Bufonidae. The record is from RNAcentral.